Molecule: ribosomal RNA, 253 nt
Filed under: uncultured bacterium
Lineage: Bacteria
Description: partial 16S ribosomal RNA
Rfam family: Bacterial small subunit ribosomal RNA
Source: RNAcentral
UACGAAGGGGGCUAGCGUUGCUCGGAAUUACUGGGCGUAAAGCGCACGUAGGCGGAUUGUUAAGUCGGGGGUGAAAUCCUGGAGCUCAACUCCAGAACUGCCUUCGAUACUGGCGAUCUUGAGUCCGGAAGAGGUGAGUGGAACUCCUAGUGUAGAGGUGGAAUUCGUAGAUAUUAGGAAGAACACCAGUGGCGAAGGCGGCUCACUGGUCCGGUACUGACGCUGAGGUGCGAAAGCGUGGGGAGCAAACAGG